AUUGAACGCUGGCGGCAUGCUUUACACAUGCAAGUCGAACGGCAGCGCGGGCUUCGGCCUGGCGGCGAGUGGCGAACGGGUGAGUAAUGCAUCGGAACGUGCCCAGUAGUGGGGGAUAGCCCGGCGAAAGCCGGAUUAAUACCGCAUACGACCUGAGGGUGAAAGCGGGGGACCGAAAGGCCUCGCGCUAUUGGAGCGGCCGAUGUCGGAUUAGCUAGUUGGUGGGGUAAAGGCUUACCAAGGCGACGAUCCGUAGCUGGUCUGAGAGGACGACCAGCCACACUGGGACUGAGACACGGCCCAGACUCCUACGGGAGGCAGCAGUGGGGAAUAUUGCACAAUGGGUGGAAGCCUGAUGCAGCAACGCCGUGUGCGGGAUGACGGCCUUCGGGUUGUAAACCGCUUUCGCUCAUGACGAAGCUUUGUGUGACGGUAGUGGGUAAAGAAGCACCGGCUAACUACGUG
RNAcentral lists this ribosomal RNA (465 nucleotides) under uncultured bacterium. RNAcentral describes it as "partial 16S ribosomal RNA". It matches the Rfam family "Bacterial small subunit ribosomal RNA", at positions 28 to 507 of the family's 1533-position model. The record is from RNAcentral.